AGUGCUGCAUAAAGGGUGAAGAUCCUCAAAGAGAAACAGCUCUAUGAGAAAGCUGAGAUGCCACCUCAUACAGCAAGAAUUGUGCAUCUGGAUCGCCUUGAUUUACGUAGCCCCAUCUGUAUUUAUUGCUAUUAUUAAAUUCACUCCUGUCAAAUUGUCA
Myotis davidii is the source of this 160-nucleotide long non-coding RNA. RefSeq lists it as uncharacterized. NCBI's taxonomy places the organism in Eukaryota, Metazoa, Chordata, Mammalia, Chiroptera, Vespertilionidae. The transcript is spliced from 2 exons. The record is from RefSeq and is a predicted model, not a curated record.